This 538-nucleotide ribosomal RNA is filed under the name uncultured Mesorhizobium sp. RNAcentral describes it as "bacterial SSU rRNA". It matches the Rfam family "Bacterial small subunit ribosomal RNA", at positions 31 to 612 of the family's 1533-position model. The record is from RNAcentral. Lineage: Bacteria; Pseudomonadati; Pseudomonadota; Alphaproteobacteria; Hyphomicrobiales; Phyllobacteriaceae.
GAACGCUGGCGGCAGGCUUACACAUGCCGUUCAAGCGCCUGACUUGCAGUGACCGGCGAGAUAGUUAGUAACGCGUGGGAACGUGCCCUUCGGUACGGAAUAGCCCCGGGAAACUGGGUGUAAUACCGUAUACGACCUCCGGGUGAAAGAUUCUAUCGCCGAAGGAUCGGCCCGCGUUAGAUUAGCUUGAUGGUGGGGUAAAGGCCUACCAUGGCUACGAUCUAUAGCUGUUCUGAGAGGAAGAUCAGCAACACUGGGACUGAGACACGGCCCAGACUCCUACGGGAGGCAGCAGUGGGGAAUAUUGGACAACGGGCGAAAGCCUGAUCCAGCCAUGCCGCGAGGAUGAAGAAGGCCCUACGGUUGUAAAGUCCUUUCAAUGGUGAAGAUAAUGACGGUAGCCAUACAAGAAGCCCCGGCUAAUUUCGUGCCAGACAGCCGCGGUAAUACGAAAGGGGCAAGCGUUGUUACGGAAUUACUGGGCGUAAAGCGCACGUAGGCGGACUUGUAAGUUAGGGGGUGAAAUCCCGGAGCUCAA